UACGUAGGGUGCGAGCGUUGUCCGGAAUUAUUGGGCGUAAAGGGCUCGUAGGCGGUUUGUCGCGUCGGGAGUGAAAACCUCGGGCUUAACUCGGGGCUUGCUUUCGAUACGGGCAGACUGGAGGUAUGCAGGGGAGAACGGAAUUCCUGGUGUAGCGGUGAAAUGCGCAGAUAUCAGGAGGAACACCGGUGGCGAAGGCGGUUCUCUGGGCCGAAACUGACGCUGAGGAGCGAAAGCGUGGGGAGCAAACAGG
Molecule: ribosomal RNA, 253 nt
Filed under: uncultured bacterium
Lineage: Bacteria
Description: partial 16S ribosomal RNA
Rfam family: Bacterial small subunit ribosomal RNA
Source: RNAcentral